AAGAAAUAAGAAACACGAAAUAUUUGUUGUUUAAUUAUUGGAAUUCCACUAACUUAAUUGAAAAUUCCAGAGCGCAGAACGGAAUGCAUUUUGCCAGGUAGAGAACAAUGAAUUGAAUUAACACAUAUUUUGUCAUUUUGGAUAUACAAUCAAUAUACUGGAAGAGACUAUAACAGCUCUACACGUUCUUUUAUCUAGCUCUAAGCAUUAACCGAAAUAUGUAGUUAGGAAGCGGAAAGGUUCUUGUAUUCUUAAAUGUUUCACAGAGUCGGAAAUCAUUGUGACUCAAGCCAAAGUCAUUUCCAGCCCGUUACCUUCAGGAACACACUGGUCCGACCAACAAUAAAACCAGGAGCUGAGCAACAAUAGCUGGUCGGGGCAGACAACAACAUCAGUUCUUAAUGCGUCAAACUUCUGCUGCAACACGUACCUCAAGUUGGGGCACUGCGUUUAACGGGGCAACGUUUCCUUUGGGGCAGGUGCUCGAAAGUGGGUUUGUUGCCCCCACCAGACAUUUCCAAACCAGCUUUUGGGUAAAAUAUUGAAAGCAAAUUUGUGAUCAGAAAGAAAAGAACAAGGAGAAACUCUAUAAAGUAAUAACUAUAAAGAAAACUGCAGCGAUUUUCCUCGACCCCCCCCCCCCCCCCCCCCCCCCCCCCCCCACCCCCCCCCCCCCCCCCCCCAACCCC
Molecule: long non-coding RNA, 689 nt
Filed under: Drosophila guanche
Lineage: Eukaryota; Metazoa; Arthropoda; Insecta; Diptera; Drosophilidae
Source: RNAcentral